UACGUAGGGGGCGAGCGUUGUCCGAAUUUACUGGGCGUAAAGGGCGCGUAGGCGGCCCGGUAAGUCCUCUGUGAAAUCUCUCGGCUUAACUGGGAGGGGUCAGAGGAAACUACUGGGCUUGAGGGCAGCAGAGGAAAGCGGAAUUCCCGGUGUAGUGGUGAAAUGCGUAGAUAUCGGGAGGAACACCAGUGGCGAAGGCGGCUUUCUGGGCUGUUUCUGACGCUGAGGCGCGAAAGCGUGGGGAGCGAACCGG
This 253-nucleotide ribosomal RNA is filed under the name uncultured bacterium. RNAcentral's name for it is "partial 16S ribosomal RNA". It matches the Rfam family "Bacterial small subunit ribosomal RNA", at positions 524 to 776 of the family's 1533-position model. The record is from RNAcentral.